GACUGCUGAGACGCAUAAAGAAAUCUUAGCUGGAAUGCCUUCUCAGAAUCUUGAUUUUCAAAGUGAUGGAUUGGGAGAUCCCAAGCCAUGAAUAAAGGGUGCUCAUCACAGAUGGAACAAUGGCGAGAGCACACCUGGACAGGGGAGGGGCAGGAGUUCUGAUUCCUGACACAGGUUUCCUGGUUGAAUGUUCUGUUGUAGAAGAAUGCAACUGAGUUUUCUAAACAGAUCUUCUUCUUGACAUCCUUGCUGAACGAAAGUGACCGGCCCUCUUUAAGACUCAGUGUGCUUACCUCUGAAAUGGAGCUGUCAAUCACAUCUGCCUCACAGGCUUGUUCUGAGGAUGAAGUGAGAAAAUGCCCACGAGGUGCUGGUUGCAGCAGCUGGUGCAUAGAGCUUAAAAAGGAUGCAGUCCCAAAACAUAGAAGGAUUUACUCCAGAUCCAAGCAAUGAGUCAGGAACAGAAAGCCUGAUGCCCUCACCUGGAACUCUCCCUCCUCCCUGGAUGAGGACCUUCCCCAGAAUUGCAGGGCACCCACACAAGACCAAGCAAGUUCAGAGAAAAUUGAAACCUGACUUUAGAGCCUCUGGGAUGUUCACUACACCUCAUUGAACCUGUUUGGUUCACAGAGCUCCAACUACCGUCUACUUCCUGCAACUGGCCUGCUGCCAACUCCCCAGAUCUCUUGUGGAGCUGCCGGAAGAGACAGCCUGCCACAGAAGAAAGCAGCCCUCCUCUUUCAUGGCCUCCCACAUCUUGAAACAAACACAAGCAAACAAAACAAAAGCUUGAGUCCCAGCCUGAUUCACCAGGUU
Molecule: long non-coding RNA, 816 nt
Filed under: Homo sapiens (human)
Lineage: Eukaryota; Metazoa; Chordata; Mammalia; Primates; Hominidae
Description: non-protein coding LINC02568:16
Source: RNAcentral